UGAUCCAGCCAUACCGCGUGGGUGAAGAAGGCCUUCGGGUUGUAAAGCCCUUUUGUUGGGAAAGAAAUCCAGCCGGUUAAUACCUGGUUGGGAUGACGGUACCCAAAGAAUAAGCACCGGCUAACUUCGUGCCAGCAGCCGCGGUAAUA
RNAcentral lists this ribosomal RNA (149 nucleotides) under uncultured bacterium. RNAcentral's name for it is "partial 16S ribosomal RNA". It matches the Rfam family "Bacterial small subunit ribosomal RNA", at positions 384 to 525 of the family's 1533-position model. The record is from RNAcentral.